AUUGAACGCUGGCGGCAGGCUUAACACAUGCAAGUCGAGCGGGGUGAUGGUGCUUGCACUAUCACUUAGCGGCGGACGGGUGAGUAAUGCUUAGGAAUCUGCCUAUUAGUGGGGGACAACAUCCCGAAAGGGAUGCUAAUACCGCAUACGUCCUACGGGAGAAAGCAGGGGAUCACUUGUGACCUUGCGCUAAUAGAUGAGCCUAAGUCGGAUUAGCUAGUUGGUGGGGUAAAGGCCUACCAAGGCGACGAUCUGUAGCGGGUCUGAGAGGAUGAUCCGCCACACUGGGACUGAGACACGGCCCAGAAUCCUACGGGGGGCAGCAGUGGGGAAUAUUGGACAAUGGGGGGAACCCUGAUCCAGCCAUGCCGCGUGUGUGAAGAAGGCCUUAGGGUUGUAAAGCACUUUAAGCGAGGAGGAGGCUCUUUUGGUUAAUACCCAGAAUGAGUGGACGUUACUCGCAGAAUAAGCACCGGCUAACUCUGUGCCAGCAGCCGCCGUAA
Molecule: ribosomal RNA, 503 nt
Filed under: uncultured bacterium
Lineage: Bacteria
Description: partial 16S ribosomal RNA
Rfam family: Bacterial small subunit ribosomal RNA
Source: RNAcentral